CGCGUAGGCGGUUUGAUAAGUCAGAUGUGAAAGCCCACGGCUUAACUGUGGAAGUGCAUUUGAAACUGUCAGACUUGAGUAUCAGAGGGGAAAGUGGAAUUCCCGGUGUAGAGGCGAAAUUCGUAGAUAUCGGGAGGAAUACCGGUGGCGAAGGCGACUUUCUGGCUGAAUACUGACGCUGAGGCGCGAAAGCGUGGGGAGCAAACAG
RNAcentral lists this ribosomal RNA (208 nucleotides) under uncultured delta proteobacterium. Its description in RNAcentral is "partial 16S ribosomal RNA". It matches the Rfam family "Bacterial small subunit ribosomal RNA", at positions 568 to 775 of the family's 1533-position model. Lineage: Bacteria; Deltaproteobacteria. The record is from RNAcentral.